Molecule: ribosomal RNA, 253 nt
Filed under: uncultured bacterium
Lineage: Bacteria
Description: partial 16S ribosomal RNA
Rfam family: Bacterial small subunit ribosomal RNA
Source: RNAcentral
AACGUAGGAGGCGAGCGUUAUCCGGAGUUACUGGGCGUAAAGGGUGUGCAGGCGGUAUGUUAAGUGGCUUGUGAAAGCUCCGGGCUAAACUCGGAGAGUGCAGGUCAGACUGGCAGACUAGAAUCGGACAGAGGGCUGUGGAAUUCCGGGUGUAGCGGUGAAAUGUGCAGAGAUCCGGAGGAACACCAGAGGUGAAAACGGCGGCCUGGGUUCAGAUUGACGCUGAGACACGAAAGCGUGGGGAGCGAACGGG